RNAcentral lists this ribosomal RNA (492 nucleotides) under uncultured bacterium. Its description in RNAcentral is "bacterial SSU rRNA". It matches the Rfam family "Bacterial small subunit ribosomal RNA", at positions 28 to 513 of the family's 1533-position model. The record is from RNAcentral.
GAUGAACGCUAGCUACAGGCUUAACACAUGCAAGUCGAGGGGCAUCAGGAAGAAAGCUUGCUUUCUUUGCUGGCGACCGGCGCACGGGUGAGUAGCACGUAUCCAACCUGCCCUUUACUCGGGGAUAGCCUUUCGAAAGAAAGAUUAAUACCCGAUAGCAUAAUGAUUCCGCAUGGUUUCAUUAUUAAAGGAUUCCGGUAAAGAUGGGAUGCGUUCCAUUAGGUUGUUGUGAGUAACGCCACCAAGCCUUCGAUGGAUAGGGGUUCUGAGAGGAAGGUCCCCCACAUUGGAACUGAGACACGGUCCAAACUCCUACGGGAGGCAGCAGUGAGGAAUAUUGGUCAAUGGGCGCUAGCCUGAACCAGCCAAAGUAGCGUGAAGGAUGAAGGCUCUAUGGGUCGUAAACUUCUUUUAUAAUAAGAAUAAAGUGCAGUAUGUACACUGUUUUGUAUGUAUUAUAUGAAUAAGGGAUCGGCUAACUCCGUGCCAGCA